GGGCACCACCCGGAGUGGAGCCUGCCGGUUAAUUUGAUUCACCACGGGAAAACUCACCCGGCCCGGACACUAGGAGGAUUGACGGACUUACUAGCUCUUUCUUGAUUCUGCGGGGGGUGGUGCAUGGUCGUUCUUAUUUGGUGGAGCGAUUUGUCUGGUUAAUUCCUAUAACAAACGACACUCUGGUCUACUAACUAGGCGUUGGAUUCCUUUGUGGGGCCAUCGCAGCUUCUUAUAGGGACGGGUGGCGUUUAACCGCACAAGAAUGAGCAGUAACAGGUCUGUGAUGCCCUUGGAUGUUCUGGGCUGCCCCCGCGCUACACUGAAGGAAUCAGCGUGUGUCCUCUGCCUGAAAAGGCUGGGAAACCCGUUGAACCUCCUUCGUGAUGGAGGAUUGGGGAUUGCAAUUAUUCCCCAUGAACGAGAAAUUCCCAGUAGGCGCGAGUCAUAAUCUUGCGUCGAUUACUCUCCCUGCCCUUUGUACACACCGCCCGUCGCUACUACCGAUCGAGUCGAUUU
Molecule: ribosomal RNA, 519 nt
Filed under: uncultured eukaryote
Lineage: Eukaryota
Description: bacterial SSU rRNA
Rfam family: Eukaryotic small subunit ribosomal RNA
Source: RNAcentral